Pollicipes pollicipes is the source of this 319-nucleotide long non-coding RNA. RefSeq lists it as uncharacterized. The record is from RefSeq and is a predicted model, not a curated record. The transcript is spliced from 3 exons. NCBI's taxonomy places the organism in Eukaryota, Metazoa, Arthropoda, Thecostraca, Pollicipedomorpha, Pollicipedidae.
ACGGCCCCGUGGUUGGCGCCCUACUAGCCGGCGCUGUUCCCCGCGGGUAUUCCUCGGCGGUAGUUUCGCGAUACUGAAACAGUUUUGCUGUGUGGCUUUGUUGUAGACUCUUUAAGAAUGUUUCGAAUCUCUCUGGCCAGCUGCAAGGCAGGACUGUCUGGGCUGCGCUCUGGUCACCGGUAUGCCUCAGUAGCCACCACCAAGCUAUUCAUCAAUGGACAAUUUGUGGAAAGCUCCACAUCUGAUUGGAUUGACUUGCAUAACCCAGCCACCAAUGAGGUGGUCACGCGUGUGCCCAAGGCCACCCAUGCCGAGAUGA